GUGAAUCAUCAAAUUUUUGAACGCAAAUUGCACUCUUUCCGGAGAGUAUGCCUGUUUGAGGGUCAGCCUAAAUAAAAAUCGACAUGGUUGCUGUUUCUCGGUGACAUUUGUCGGAAAUUGGGUCAUCUUAAACCUUUGGGCUUUAAGCGGCUUAAAAUUUUCUUUACGAUUCCACGAACGUAUCUAAGUUUUACUUCUUAUCCGUUUACGGAAUCGAUCUUUAUUAGACGUGGCCGUUGCAUCGGAUC
RNAcentral lists this unclassified non-coding RNA (248 nucleotides) under Glomus sp. RNAcentral's name for it is "partial contains 5.8S ribosomal RNA and internal transcribed spacer 2". The stretch from base 1 to 65 matches the Rfam family "5.8S ribosomal RNA", at positions 84 to 154 of the family's 154-position model. Lineage: Eukaryota; Fungi; Glomeromycota; Glomeromycetes; Glomerales; Glomeraceae. The record is from RNAcentral.